GAAUUAAGCAUAUCAAUAAGCGGAGGAAAAGAAACUAACAAGGAUUCCCCUAGUAACUGCGAGUGAAGUGGGAAAAGCUCAAAUUUAAAAUCUGGCAGUCUUUGGCUGUCCGAGUUGUAAUCUAGAGAAGUAAUGCCCGCGCUGGACCAUGUACAAGUCUCCUGGGAUGGAGCAUCAUAGAGGGUGAGAAUCCCGUCUCUGACAUGGACUACCAGGGCUUUGUGGUAUGCUCUCAAAGAGUCGAGUUGUUUGGGAAUGCAGCUCAAAAUGGGUGGUAAAUUCCAUCUAAAGCUAAAUAUUGGCGAGAGACCGAUAGCGAACAAGUACCGUGAGGGAAAGAUGAAAAGAACUUUGGAAAGAGAGUUAAACAGUACGUGAAAUUGCUGAAAGGGAAACACUUGAAGUCAGUCAUGUUGGCCAGGGAUCAGCCUCGCUUUUGCGUGGUGUACUUUCUGGUUGAUGGGUCAGCAUCAAUUUUGACUGCUGGAAAAAGGCUUGGGGAAUGUGGCAGCUUCGGCUGUGUUAUAGCCCCUGGUCACAUACAGUGGUUGGGAUUGAGGAACUCAGCACGCCACAAGGCCGGGUUACGACCACGUU
This 597-nucleotide ribosomal RNA is filed under the name Chlorophyllum sp. RNAcentral's name for it is "partial large subunit ribosomal RNA". It matches the Rfam family "Eukaryotic large subunit ribosomal RNA", at positions 31 to 617 of the family's 3401-position model. The record is from RNAcentral. Lineage: Eukaryota; Fungi; Basidiomycota; Agaricomycetes; Agaricales; Agaricaceae.